This 660-nucleotide ribosomal RNA is filed under the name uncultured bacterium. RNAcentral's name for it is "bacterial SSU rRNA". It matches the Rfam family "Bacterial small subunit ribosomal RNA", at positions 232 to 885 of the family's 1533-position model. The record is from RNAcentral.
CGCGGCCUAUCAGCUUGUUGGUGGGGUAGCGGCCUACCAAGGCGAUGACGGGUAGCGGGUCUGAGAGGAUGAUCCGUCACACUGGGACUGAGACACUGCCCAGACUCCUACGGGGGGCUGCAGUCGAGAACCUUCCACAAUGGGCGAAAGCCUGAUGGAGCGACACCGCGUGCAGGAUGAAGGCCUUAGGGUUGUAAACUGCUGUCACGCUAUAGGAACCCGUGACCGUUAAUAGCGGUCGCGCUGACCAAAGCGAGAGGAAGCGCCGGCUAACUCCGUGCCAGCAGCCGCGGUAAUACGGAGGGCGCAAGCGUUGUUCGGAUUCACUGGGCAUAAAGAGCACGUAGGCGGCUCGCUCAGUCGGGUGUGAAAGCCCACGGCCCAACCGUGGAACUGCACCCGAUACUGGCGAGCUCGAGGACGGAAGGGGUGAGUGGAACUCCAGGUGGAACGGUGAAAUGUAUAGAUAUCUGGAGGAACACCGGUGGCGAAAGCGGCUCACUGGUCCGUCUCUGACGCUGAGGUGCGAAAGCUAGGGUAGCGAACGGGAUUAGAUACCCCGGUAGUCCUAGCCGUAAACGAUGGGCACUAGGCAAUGGGCUUUCCUAUGGGGCUCAUUGCCGGAGCUAAUGUGUUAAGUGCCCCGCCUGGGGAGUACGG